Molecule: ribosomal RNA, 460 nt
Filed under: uncultured bacterium
Lineage: Bacteria
Description: partial 16S ribosomal RNA
Rfam family: Bacterial small subunit ribosomal RNA
Source: RNAcentral
CCUACGGGAGGCUGCAGUGAGGAAUAUUGGUCAAUGGACGAGAGUCUGAACCAGCCAAGUAGCGUGAAGGAUGCCUGCCCUAUGGGUUGUAAACUUCUUUUAUAUGGGAAUAAAAUGUUCCACGUGUGGGAUUUUGUAUGUACCAUAUGAAUAAGGAUCGGCUAACUCCGUGCCAGCAGCCGCGGUAAUACGUAGGUGGCAAGCGUUGUCCGGAUUUACUGGGUUUAAAGGGCGUGCAGCCGGGGAGUCAAGUCAGUUGUGAAAUCCGGCGGCUCAACCGUGGAACUGUAUUUGAAACUGUUUUUCUUGAGGACCGGAGAGGUAGUCGGAAUUCCUUGUGUAGCGGUGAAAUGCGUAGAUAUAAGGAAGAACACCGAUGGCGAAGGCAGAUGACUAGACGGCAACUGACGGUGAGGCGCGAAAGCGUGGGGAGCAAACAGGAUUAGAUACCCCGGUAGUC